Molecule: ribosomal RNA, 401 nt
Filed under: Rhizobium sp. R-45829=2041
Lineage: Bacteria; Pseudomonadati; Pseudomonadota; Alphaproteobacteria; Hyphomicrobiales; Rhizobiaceae
Description: partial 16S ribosomal RNA
Rfam family: Bacterial small subunit ribosomal RNA
Source: RNAcentral
GCUCAGAACGAACGCUGGCGGCAGGCUUAACACAUGCAAGUCGAGCGCCCCGCAAGGGGAGCGGCAGACGGGUGAGUAACGCGUGGGAAUCUACCCAUCCCUACGGAACAACUCCGGGAAACUGGAGCUAAUACCGUAUACGCCCUUCGGGGGAAAGAUUUAUCGGGGAUGGAUGAGCCCGCGUUGGAUUAGCUAGUUGGUGGGGUAAAGGCCUACCAAGGCGACGAUCCAUAGCUGGUCUGAGAGGAUGAUCAGCCACWUUGGGACUGAGACWCGGCCCAAACUCCUACGGGAGGCWGCWGUGGGGAAUAUUGGACWAUGGGCGCKAGCYUGAUCCKGCCKUGCCGCGUGAGUGAUGAAGGUCUUAGGAUUGUAAAGCUUCUUUCACCGGAGAAGAUAAU